AGUGAACGCUGGCGGUAGGCCUAACACAUGCAAGUCGAACGGCAGCACAGUAAGAGCUUGCUCUUACGGGUGGCGAGUGGCGGACGGGUGAGGAAUACAUCGGAAUCUACUUUUUCGUGGGGGAUAACGUAGGGAAACUUACGCUAAUACCGCAUACGACCUACGGGUGAAAGCAGGGGAUCUUCGGACCUUGCGCGAUUGAAUGAGCCGAUGUCGGAUUAGCUAGUUGGCGGGGUAAAGGCCCACCAAGGCGACGAUCCGUAGCUGGUCUGAGAGGAUGAUCAGCCACACUGGAAUUGAGACACGGUCCAGACUCCUACGGGAGGCAGCAGUGGGGAAUAUUGGACAGUGGGCGCAAGCCUGAUCCAGCCAUACCGCGUGGGUGAAGAAGGCCUUCGGGUUGUAAAGCCCUUUUGUUGGGAAAGAAAAGCAGCAGGUUAAUACCCCGCUGUUCUGACGGUACCCAAAGAAUAAGCACCGGCUAACUUCGU
Molecule: ribosomal RNA, 491 nt
Filed under: uncultured bacterium
Lineage: Bacteria
Description: partial 16S ribosomal RNA
Rfam family: Bacterial small subunit ribosomal RNA
Source: RNAcentral